Molecule: ribosomal RNA, 254 nt
Filed under: uncultured bacterium
Lineage: Bacteria
Description: partial small subunit ribosomal RNA
Rfam family: Bacterial small subunit ribosomal RNA
Source: RNAcentral
AGGACGAACGCUGGCGGCGUGCUUAACACAUGCAAGUCGAGCGGAAAGGCCCUUCGGGGUACUCGAGCGGCGAACGGGUGAGUAACACGUGAGUAAUCUGCCCCUAGCUCUGGGAUAGCUCCGGGAAACCGGGAUUAAUACCGGAUACGACCACCUUAGACAUCUUUUGCGGUGGAAAGAAUUUCGGCUAGGGAUGAGCUCGCGGCCUAUCAGCUUGUUGGUGGGGUAAUGGCCUACCAAGGCGACGACGGGUA